AAUCAACGCUGGCGGCGUGCCUAACACAUGCAAGUCGAACGCGAAAGUCCCGCAAGGGGCAAGUAGAGUGGCAAACGGGUGAGUAACACGUGGGUGACCUGCCUUCGAGUGGGGGAGUAACGUCCCGAAAGGGACGCUAAUACCGCAUGACAUCCUGCUUUUGGAAAAGCGGAGAUCAAAGCCGGGGAUCGCAAGACCUGGCGCUCGAAGAGGGGCCCGCGCCUGAUUAGCUAGUUGGNGAGGUAACGGCUCACCAAGCUACGAUCAGUAUCCGGCCUGAGAGGGCGGACGGACACACUGGGACUGAGACACGGCCCAGAC
Molecule: ribosomal RNA, 321 nt
Filed under: uncultured bacterium
Lineage: Bacteria
Description: bacterial SSU rRNA
Rfam family: Bacterial small subunit ribosomal RNA
Source: RNAcentral